UUUAGACAGCCUGCCCUUCAAAUGAUUGAGUGUUGAAGGAACAAAGCCUCUUGCCAUUAUGUCCCUGAAGGCCCUGAUAAAAGGAGAGGCUCUGAGGAGAGACGAGGGGAAGAGAGACCCCAGGAGAAGCAGCCCAUCUUGCCGUCUUGAGUGAACCUCACAGACCUGGAUGCCCUGUCUGGCUGAGGGCAGUCACCAGGGAGCAAGUGCCUGGCCUGG
This 219-nucleotide long non-coding RNA is filed under the name Mustela putorius furo (domestic ferret). RNAcentral describes it as "lncRNA (ENSMPUG00000026545.1)". The record is from RNAcentral. Lineage: Eukaryota; Metazoa; Chordata; Mammalia; Carnivora; Mustelidae.